Molecule: non-coding RNA, 46 nt
Filed under: Schistosoma mansoni
Lineage: Eukaryota; Metazoa; Platyhelminthes; Trematoda; Strigeidida; Schistosomatidae
Source: RNAcentral
GCACUGCCGAGGAGUCCCACAAUAGGACGAAACGGUCGUUCAGUGC